RNAcentral lists this long non-coding RNA (1464 nucleotides) under Cricetulus griseus (Chinese hamster). Its description in RNAcentral is "lncRNA (ENSCGRG00015037602.1)". Lineage: Eukaryota; Metazoa; Chordata; Mammalia; Rodentia; Cricetidae. The record is from RNAcentral.
GGGGUCGCCUCGUGGCGCCCAGCGUCCGUCCCCCCAGGUCUUCUUCCUCUAGCACACACCCACGGAGGAACCCAGCCGCAACCUUCCCAUCCAAACUGGCGACCCAGGGACAGCACCCACGCACGGUGCGGAGAAGAGGUCACCGAAAGGCGGCCCGGGUGGAUCCUGCCGGAGACCGCGGCCGGCACUCGGAAAGUCGGGAGUAGGGUGUCUGAUCGGCCUUUGGGGGGAUCACAGGUCAGGUGAGACUGGGGUGCAGAAUGAGCCGAGAAGUCCGGUCCUUGCUGUUCCCAGCUCUCGGGAGCCCGCGGAACUCGGGAAACGCGGGCAGAGGGAGAAGAAAGAGGGCGAGCAGGGAGUCACUCACCGAGACAGAUGGAGCGCGGCGGCCCUUUGUCUGCUGCCGCGGCGCCGGCGCUCUCGGCCCGGUUGCUCCAGCCCAGGCGCGGGGUUAGGGGGAGUCACCUCAAGAUCCUGUCCAGGAGGAAAGGAUGACGGAAACUGGGAGGUCUCCCUGAGCCCCGGCCAAAGUCUUCUGGUCUUUUCUCCCGGUCAGCCCUCUCUACCGUAACUGCUGAAACUGAGGGCGGAGAAAAAGAGCCGGUUGGAACUGGACUGCUCCAGGAAUGGGAGACCGGAGUAGGCAGGAGCCAUCCCCUGGCCAAGGGUCGAGGGGACGCUGUGGGAGCUCAGGUCACUAGCUGGCCUUGGAUGUGCUGCCAGUUGCCUGGUUCGUGGGGUCCAAGUAAAACUCACAGAUGGGUGCCAAGACUUUGGUAGCCAGAGAAAAACCUGAGAAGCCUCCAGACCCCAAACUUUGGUGGUGACUGGUGUUUGAGCUGUGUUCCAGCAAGUAGAUGCGUCACUGAAUGCCUGCAUCCUUUUAAAAUGAGAAGCUGCUUUCCUAAGCAGGGAAAAAAAUGUGAUGAACUAAAUAUUGUAUAAUGAGGUCACCAGUGGCUUUAGCUGCCCAUGAGCCCUCCCUCCUCUCAACCAAAGCACUCAGGAUGGGGGCUGCACUUGUACAUUUCUCAGUCUGCUAUAUCGUGUGUUUAUUUUUGCCUCAUCCUGGGCCGGAGAGUGUACAAUUUCAGGUACUUAAGAGGUACCCAGUAACUGUUGAAAUUAUCUUUGGGUAACACCGGUAAAAACAUAAAACUUAGAACGUGUGGGAUUGCAUUGGGAGCUGUAACAAGUGUUUAGCUCAGCGGUAGUCGUAGAAAGGGUACAGAUGGUAGCUGUAAUUACUGUGCAGAUAUAAUUGACAUUAAUCGUAUGUAUGUAGGUAGCCAAUAGGUUUGGGACUAGCCCUAGCUAGGUUAGAGAUAGCAGUUAUCUGAACUUGCAUUAACUUAAAAGAGAAGGUAAGGAUAAAGAUGGUGUCCUCUGUAGUCCGACAUUUCGAUGAGCCUUCCCUAGAGCACAUUUUAACAUUCUGCUUACUUAAUUUUCAUUAUAAAUAAG